GACGAACGCUGGCGGCGUGCUUAACACAUGCAGGUCGAACGGAAAGGCCCUGCUUUUGUGGGGUGCUCGAGUGGCGAACGGGUGAGUAACACGUGAGUAACCUGCCCUUGACUUUGGGAUAACUUCAGGAAACUGGGGCUAAUACCGGAUAGGAGCUCCUGCUGCAUGGUGGGGGUUGGAAAGUUUCGGCGGUUGGGGAUGGACUCGCGGCUUAUCAGCUUGUUGGUGGGGUAGUGGCUUACCAAGGCUUUGACGGGUAGCCGGCCUGAGAGGGUGACCGGCCACAUUGGGACUGAGAUACGGCCCAGACUCCUACGGGAGGCAGCAGUGGGGAAUAUUGCACAAUGGGCGGAAGCCUGAUGCAGCAACGCCGCGUGCGGGAUGACGGCCUUCGGGUUGUAUACCGCUUUCGCCUGUGACGAAGCGUGAGUGACGGUAAUGGGUAAAGAAGUACCGGCUAACUACGUG
RNAcentral lists this ribosomal RNA (468 nucleotides) under uncultured bacterium. RNAcentral describes it as "partial 16S ribosomal RNA". It matches the Rfam family "Bacterial small subunit ribosomal RNA", at positions 28 to 507 of the family's 1533-position model. The record is from RNAcentral.